RNAcentral lists this ribosomal RNA (376 nucleotides) under uncultured bacterium. RNAcentral's name for it is "bacterial SSU rRNA". It matches the Rfam family "Bacterial small subunit ribosomal RNA", at positions 524 to 898 of the family's 1533-position model. The record is from RNAcentral.
UACAGAGGUGGCAAGCGUUGUUCGGAAUCACUGGGCUUAAAGCGUGUGUAGGCAGAUCAGUAAGUGUCUUGUGAAAUCCCUCGUCUCAACCGAGGAACUGCUGGGCAAACUACUAAUCUUGAGGUAGGCAGGGGUGCUUGGAACUCUUGGUGGAGCGGUGAAAUGCGUAGAUAUCAAGAGGAACGCCUGUGGCGAAAGCGGAGCACUGGGCCUAUUCUGACGCUGAGACACGAAAGCGUGGGGAGUGAACGGGAUUAGAUACCCCGGUAAUCCACGCUGUAAACGAUGCAUACUUGGUGUUGGGAACUCUGACGUUCUCAAGACCGAAACAAAAGCGUUAAGUAUGCCGCCUGGGGAGUACGGUCGCAAGGCUAAA